RNAcentral lists this ribosomal RNA (254 nucleotides) under uncultured bacterium. Its description in RNAcentral is "partial 16S ribosomal RNA". It matches the Rfam family "Bacterial small subunit ribosomal RNA", at positions 524 to 776 of the family's 1533-position model. The record is from RNAcentral.
UACGAAGGGGGCUAGCGUUUUUCGGAAUUACUGGGCGUAAAGCGCGCGUAGGCGGCUUUGCAAGCCAGAGGUGAAAUGCCUGAGCUUAACUUGGGAAUUGCCUUUGGGACUGCGAGGCUUCGAGGACGGGAGAGGUGAGUGGAAUUCCCAGUGUAGAGGUGAAAUUCGUAGAUAUUGGGAAGAACACCGGUGGCGAAGGCGGCUCACUGGCCCGUUUCUGACGCUCAAGCGCGAAAGCGUGGGGAUCAAACAGG